This 64-nucleotide transfer RNA is filed under the name Batracomorphus extentus. Its description in RNAcentral is "tRNA-Glu". Lineage: Eukaryota; Metazoa; Arthropoda; Insecta; Hemiptera; Cicadellidae. The record is from RNAcentral.
AUUCUAAUAGUUUAUUUAAAACACUUCAUUUUCAAUGAAAAAAAAGAUUUAAUUCUUUAGAAUG